RNAcentral lists this ribosomal RNA (1404 nucleotides) under uncultured bacterium. RNAcentral's name for it is "16S ribosomal RNA". It matches the Rfam family "Bacterial small subunit ribosomal RNA". The record is from RNAcentral.
AGAGUUUGAUCCUGGCUCAGGAUGAACGCUAGCUACAGGCUUAACACAUGCAAGUCGAACGGGAAACCUUUUAUUGAAGCUUCGGCAGAUUUAGAUUGUUUCUAGUGGCGCACGGGUGAGUAACACGUAUCCAACCUGCCUCAUACUCGGGGAUAGCCUUUCGAAAGAAAGAUUAAUACCGGAUGGCAUAGUUUUCCCGCAUGGGAUAAUUAUUAAAGAAUUUCGGUUGUCGAUGGGGAUGCGUUCCAUUAGGCAGUUGGCGGGGUAACGGCCCACCAAACCAACGAUGGAUAGGGGUUCUGAGAGGAAGGUCCCCCACAUUGGAACUGAGACACGGUCCAAACUCCUACGGGAGGCAGCAGUGAGGAAUAUUGGUCAAUGGACGAGAGUCUGAACCAGCCAAGUAGCGUGAAGGAUGACUGCCCUAUGGGUUGUGAACUUCUUUUAUACGGGAAUAAAGUUAGCCACGUGUGGCUUUUUGUAUGUACCGUAUGAAUAAGGAUCGGCUAACUCCGUGCCAGCAGCCGCGGUAAUACGGAGGAUCCGAGCGUUAUCCGGAUUUAUUGGGUUUAAAGGGAGCGUAGGCGGGUUGUUAAGUCAGUUGUGAAAGUUUGCGGCUCAACCGUAAAAUUGCAGUUGAUACUGGCGACCUUGAGUGCAACAGAGGUAGGCGGAAUUCGUGGUGUAGCGGUGAAAUGCUUAGAUAUCACGAAGAACUCCGAUUGCGAAGGCAGCUUACUGGAUUGUAACUGACGCUGAUGCUCGAAAGUGUGGGUAUCAAACAGGAUUAGAUACCCUGGUAGUCCACACAGUAAACGAUGAAUACUCGCUGUUGGCGAUAUACAGUCAGCGGCCAAGCGAAAGCAUUAAGUAUUCCACCUGGGGAGUACGCCGGCAACGGUGAAACUCAAAGGAAUUGACGGGGGCCCGCACAAGCGGAGGAACAUGUGGUUUAAUUCGAUGAUACGCGAGGAACCUUACCCGGGCUUAAAUUGCAACUGACUGAACCGGAAACGGUUCUUUCUUCGGACAGUUGUGAAGGUGCUGCAUGGUUGUCGUCAGCUCGUGCCGUGAGGUGUCGGCUUAAGUGCCAUAACGAGCGCAACCCUUAUCGAUAGUUACUAGCAGGUCAUGCUGAGGACUCUAUUGAGACUGCCGUCGUAAGAUGUGAGGAAGGUGGGGAUGACGCCAAAUCAGCACGGCCCUUACGUCCGGGGCUACACACGUGUUACAAUGGGGGGUACAGAAGGCAGCUACACGGCGACGUGGUGCUAAUCCCCGAAAGCCUCUCUCAGUUCGGAUUGGAGUCUGCAACCCGACUCCAUGAAGCUGGAUUCGCUAGUAAUCGCGCAUCAGCCACGGCGCGGUGAAUACGUUCCCGGGCCUUGCACUCACCGCCCGUCA